This 253-nucleotide ribosomal RNA is filed under the name uncultured bacterium. RNAcentral's name for it is "partial 16S ribosomal RNA". It matches the Rfam family "Bacterial small subunit ribosomal RNA", at positions 524 to 776 of the family's 1533-position model. The record is from RNAcentral.
UACGGGGGGGGCAAGCGUUGUUCGGAAUUACUGGGCGUAAAGGGCUCGUAGGCGGCCAACUAAGUCAGACGUGAAAUCCCCAGGCUCAACCCCGGAACUGCCUUUGAUACUGGGUAUCUCGAGUCCGAGAGAGGUGAGUGGAAUUCCGAGUGUAGAGGUGAAAUUCGUAGAUAUUCGGAGGAACACCAGUGGCGAAGGCGGCUCACUGGCUCGGUACUGACGCUGAGGUGCGAAAGCGUGGGGAGCAAACAGG